Molecule: transfer RNA, 62 nt
Filed under: Shijimiaeoides divina
Lineage: Eukaryota; Metazoa; Arthropoda; Insecta; Lepidoptera; Lycaenidae
Description: tRNA-Ser
Source: RNAcentral
GAAAUAUAAAUAUAAUUAAACUUCUAAUUUAAUUUUUAGUGAUCUAUUUCAUUAAUAUUUCU